GACGAACGCUGGCGGCGUGCUUAACACAUGCAAGUCGAACGGAAAGGCCCUGCUUUUGUGGGGUGCUCGAGUGGCGAACGGGUGAGUAACACGUGAGUAACCUGCCCUUGACUUUGGGAUAACUUCAGGAAACUGGGGCUAAUACCGGAUAGGAGCUCCUGCUGCAUGGUGGGGGUUGGAAAGUUUCGGCGGUUGGGGAUGGACUCGCGGCUUAUCAGGUUGUUGGUGGGGUAGUGGCUUACCAAGGCUUUGACGGGUAGCCGGCCUGAGAGGGUGACCGGCCACAUUGGGACUGAGGUACGGCCCAGACUCCUACGGGAGGCAGCAGUGGGGAAUAUUGCACAAUGGGCGGAAGCCUGAUGCAGCAACGCCGCGUGCGGGAUGACGGCCUUCGGGUUGUAAACCGCUUUCGCCUGUGACGAAGCGUGAGUGACGGUAAUGGAUAAAGAAGCACCGGCUAACUACGUG
Molecule: ribosomal RNA, 468 nt
Filed under: uncultured bacterium
Lineage: Bacteria
Description: partial 16S ribosomal RNA
Rfam family: Bacterial small subunit ribosomal RNA
Source: RNAcentral